RNAcentral lists this ribosomal RNA (427 nucleotides) under uncultured bacterium. Its description in RNAcentral is "bacterial SSU rRNA". It matches the Rfam family "Bacterial small subunit ribosomal RNA", at positions 359 to 777 of the family's 1533-position model. The record is from RNAcentral.
GAAUAUUGCGCAAUGGGGGAAACCCUGACGCAGCGACGCCGCGUGGGUGAUGAAGGCCUUCGGGUCGUAAAGCCCUGUCGUAGGGAAAGAAUCGGUUGCAGGCUAAUAUCCUGCAGCCCUGACGGUACCCUACCAGAAAGCACCGGCUAACUCCGUCCCCGCCGCCGCGGUAAUACGGAGGGUGCAAGCGUUGUUCGGAAUUACUGGGCGUAAAGAGCGUGUAGGCGGUCGAUCAAGUCCGGUGUGAAAGCCCGGGGCUUACCCCCGGAAGUGCGCUGGAAACUGGUCGACUAGAGUAUGGGAGAGGGAAGUGGAAUUCCUGGUGUAGCGGUGAAAUGCGUAGAUAUCAGGAGGAACACCGGCGGCGAAGGCGGCUUCCUGGACCAAUACUGACGCUGAGACGCGAAAGCGUGGGGAGCAAACAGGA